GGAGGGAGCGAACGUUGUUCGGAAUUACUGGGCGUAGAGGGCGUGUAGGCUGUUAGGUAAGUCAGGUGUGAAAUGUUACCGCUCAACGGUGAACCUGCAUUUGAUACUGCCUAACUGGAGGUCAGGAGAGGAGAGCGGAAUUCUCAGUGUAGCGGUGGAAUGCGUAGAUAUUGGGAAGAACACCAGUGGCGAAGGCGGCUCUCUGGACUGAUACUGACGCUGAGGCGCGAAAGCUAGGGGGGAGCAAACAGGAUUAGAUACCCUGGUAGUCCUAGCCCGUAAACCGAUGGGCACUAGGUGCUGGGAAUAUCGACGUUUUUCAGCGCCGUAGCUAACGCAUUAAGUGCCCCCGGCCUGGGAGUACGACCGCAAGGUUG
This 377-nucleotide ribosomal RNA is filed under the name uncultured organism. RNAcentral describes it as "partial 16S ribosomal RNA". It matches the Rfam family "Bacterial small subunit ribosomal RNA", at positions 527 to 896 of the family's 1533-position model. The record is from RNAcentral.